This 301-nucleotide ribosomal RNA is filed under the name uncultured bacterium. RNAcentral's name for it is "partial 16S ribosomal RNA". It matches the Rfam family "Bacterial small subunit ribosomal RNA", at positions 509 to 809 of the family's 1533-position model. The record is from RNAcentral.
CAGCAGCCGCGGUAAUACGUAGGUGGCAAGCGUUGUCCGGAAUUAUUGGGCGUAAAGCGCGCGCAGGUGGUUUAAUAAGUCUGAUGUGAAAGCCCACGGCUCAACCGUGGAGGGUCAUUGGAAACUGUUAAACUUGAGUGCAGGAGAGAAAAGUGGAAUUCCUAGUGUAGCGGUGAAAUGCGUAGAGAUUAGGGGGAACACCAGUGGCGAAGGCGGCUUUUUGGCCUGUAACUGACACUGAGGCGCGAAAGCGUGGGGAGCAAACAGGAUUAGAGACCCCCGUAGUCCCUGUCUCUUAUAA